Molecule: ribosomal RNA, 296 nt
Filed under: Limnesia sp. AP-2010
Lineage: Eukaryota; Metazoa; Arthropoda; Arachnida; Trombidiformes; Limnesiidae
Description: partial 28S ribosomal RNA
Rfam family: Eukaryotic large subunit ribosomal RNA
Source: RNAcentral
CCAAGGAGCCCAACAUCUGCGCGAGUCGCUCGGUCUUGCUUAGGCCUGAGAGGCGAAAUAAACAUAAUGGUAUGAUGCUGGAUACCCUCCGGGGUCCCGGUCGCAAUACCAACCUGCUUAAUCUGCCUUUUGACAGACAAGCGGAGUUUGAGCGUAGAUGUUGGUACCCGAAAGAUGGUGAACUAUACUUGGGCAGGACGAAGCCAGAGGAAACUCUGGUGGAGGUCCGUAGCGAUUCUGACGUGCAAAUCGAUCGUCAGACCUGAGUAUAGGGGCGAAAGACUAAUCGAACCAUC